GCUUMCAUGCAAGUCGAGCGGCAGCGCGGGGCAACCUGGCGGCGAGCGGCGAACGGGUGAGUAAUACAUCGGAACGUACCCUGUCGUGGGGGAUAACCAACCGAAAGGUUGGCUAAUACCGCAUACGACCUGAGGGUGAAAGCGGGGGACCGCAAGGCCUCGCGCGAUAGGAGCGGCCGAUGUCGGAUUAGCUAGUUGGUGGGGUAAAGGCCUACCAAGGCGACGAUCCGUAGCUGGUCUGAGAGGAUGAUCAGCCACACUGGGACUGAGACACGGCCCAGACUCCUACGGGAGGCAGCAGUGGGGAAUUUUGGACAAUGGGGGAAACCCUGAUCCAGCCAUUCCGCGUGAGUGAAGAAGGCCUUCGGGUUGUAAAGCUCUUUCGGCAGGAACGAAACGGUGGGCUCUAACAUAGCCUGCUAAUGACGGUACCUGAAGAAGAAGCACCGGCUAACUACGUGCCAGCAGCCGCGGUAAUACGUAGGGUGCGAGCGUUAAUCGGAAUUACUGGGCGUAAAGCGUGCGCAGGCGGUUAUGUAAGACAGAUGUGAAAUCCCCGGGCUCAACCUGGGAACUGCGUUUGUGACUGCAUAACUAGAGUACGGCAGAGGGAGGUGGAAUUCCACGUGUAGCAGUGAAAUGCGUAGAGAUGUGGAGGAACACCGAUGGCGAAGGCAGCCUCCUGGGCCAGUACUGACGCUCAUGCACGAAAGCGUGGGGAGCAAACAGGGAUUAGAUACCCUGGUAGUCCACGCCCUAAACGAUGUCAACUAGUUGUUCGGGUGAGGAGACUCAUUGAGUAACGCAGCUAACGCGUGAAGUUGACCGCCUGGGGAGUACGGCCGCAAGGUUAAAACUCAAGGAAUUGACGGGGACCCGCACAAGCGGUGGAUGAUGUGGAUUAAUUCGAUGCAACG
This 917-nucleotide ribosomal RNA is filed under the name uncultured beta proteobacterium. RNAcentral's name for it is "bacterial SSU rRNA". It matches the Rfam family "Bacterial small subunit ribosomal RNA", at positions 46 to 961 of the family's 1533-position model. Lineage: Bacteria; Pseudomonadati; Pseudomonadota; Betaproteobacteria. The record is from RNAcentral.